Long non-coding RNA from Alexandromys fortis (reed vole), 499 nucleotides. RefSeq lists it as uncharacterized. The transcript has 3 exons. The record is from RefSeq and is a predicted model, not a curated record. NCBI's taxonomy places the organism in Eukaryota, Metazoa, Chordata, Mammalia, Rodentia, Cricetidae.
CUGGGCUGGACACAAGUCACCCAACACAGGAAAAUAACAGAGGCAACCAUGAGCUGGCCCAGGUACCCAGGCUGCCUGGCCUCCUUACCGAGCGCCUCUGGACCAUCUUGUGUUCCUCCACCCUUUCCUGCCAAGAAGCGUGGCCUCCAGGACAGUAGCAAAGAGAGUAUUUGCUCAAGGGCCCUGGCAAGGAGAGGUGGAGAAGCAAUCCCAUAGAAGACUUUGCCUAUGGAGACACUGAAGAAUAAAGUGCUUGGGAGACGUGGCUCAAGUUUGCUAGGACAUAGAAGAGAUUACCAAAUCCCAAUUGGACGGUGGGGUCUUUCAAGACAAAGACCCAUUAUAUGCCACAUUUUGUCUUGCUUGUCACUGGGCGUCGUAGAUGUCAUCCAUACAAGAAACAUAAAGGAAGACAAAUUACCCAAGGCACCACGACACUGAAUCUGCCAAAGCUUGAGUUGGAGACGCUCACUGACUUCUCCUUAAAUGUCUCUUUAAU